GAUGAACGCUAGCUACAGGCUUAACACAUGCAAGUCGAGGGGAAACGAUAUUGGAAGCUUGCUUCCGAUAGGCGUCGACCGGCGCACGGGUGAGUAACGCGUAUCCAACCUGCCCAUCACUUGGGGAUAACCUUGCGAAAGUAAGACUAAUACCCAAUGACGUCUCUAGAAGACAUCUGAAAGAGAUUAAAGAUUUAUCGGUGAUGGAUGGGGAUGCGUCUGAUUAGCUUGUUGGCGGGGUAACGGCCCACCAAGGCGACGAUCAGUAGGGGUUCUGAGAGGAAGGUCCCCCACAUUGGAACUGAGACACGGUCCAAAACUCCUACGGGAGGCAGCAGUGAGGAAUAUUGGUCAAUGGACGAGAGUCUGAACCAGCCAAGUAGCGUGCAGGAAGACGGCCCUAUGGGUUGUAAACUGCUUUUAUAAGGGAAUAAAGUGAGUCUCGUGAGACUUUUUGCAUGUACCUUAUGAAUAAGGACGGCUAAUUCCGUGCCAGCAGCCG
RNAcentral lists this ribosomal RNA (502 nucleotides) under uncultured bacterium. RNAcentral's name for it is "bacterial SSU rRNA". It matches the Rfam family "Bacterial small subunit ribosomal RNA", at positions 28 to 517 of the family's 1533-position model. The record is from RNAcentral.